UUUGCAUGUGAUUUGCAUGUGAUUUGCAUGUAGGCCCAGAGAUUGCUGAAGGAUGCUGCUGCUAACAGGUAAGGAGAACACACAAAGGAGCAGUGACAUGGCUGGGAGUUCUGGAGUACACAGCCUUGAACCUGUAUCUCUGGGGAGAAACUGCAAUGGGAAUCACAAAAUUUCUUGGGGACCAUGAUGUAUCCACACACCUCUUCAUGAUCCUGGGACAACGGUGCCUCUGCGGAUGGAUUAAACUUGGCAGUGCUACAAAUAACACAUUCUCUACUGGAGAGUGUGUUCACAGAGAAGGAGAGUGGAUGACAAGAUCUGUAAGGAGAAGAGAGCAGCUCUGAGGCACUUUUUACAGGUCCUAAUCAAUGCACCAAAUCUGUAAUCACCAAAGAGCAGGUCUGGAUGUAUAGAUUCGUAUGACUGUCCUAAGCCAAGAUCACAUUCUCACCUACCAAGUACUCGCUGGACUAAAGGAGAUCAUAUAAAUGCUCCAUAAUUGUGCAACAUCCUUUGGCAACUGUUUCAAUUUGUCAGGUAUGUGAUACACAAUGAACCAUUUCCUUUGUUGUUUGUUCUGAAUCUGGCUCCCA
This 593-nucleotide long non-coding RNA is filed under the name Cyanistes caeruleus (blue tit). RNAcentral describes it as "lncRNA (ENSCCEG00000008781.1)". The record is from RNAcentral. Lineage: Eukaryota; Metazoa; Chordata; Aves; Passeriformes; Paridae.